GUGAGAACAUGUAAGAGAAACAACCCUGCAGACACCAAGGUCAGUGAAGAAGGAGGAGGAGGAGGAGGCGCCGGAGCAGAGAUUCCCCUGCAGCCCGUGGUGAAGACCAUGGUGAGGCAGGCUGUCCCCCUGCAGUCCAGGGAGGUCCACGGUGGAGCAGAUCUCCACCUGCAGCCCGGGGAGGACCCCACGCCGGAGCAGGUGGGUUCCCGAAGGAGGCUGUGAGCCCGUGGGAAGCCCGCGCUGGAGCAGGCUCCUGGCAGGACCUGCGGAUCUGUGGAGAGAGGAGCCCACGGAGCAGGUUUGCUGGCAGGACUUGUGACCCCGUGGGGGACCCAUGCUGGAGCAGUCUGUGCCUGAAGGACUGCACACCGUGGAAAGGACCCAUGCUGGAGCAGUUCAUGAAGAACUGCAGCCCGUGGGAAGGACCCACGUUGGAGAAGUUCAUGGAGGACUGUCUCCUGUGGGUGGGACCCCACACUGGAGCAGGGGAAGAGUGUGAUGAGUCCUCCCCCUGAGGAGGAUGAAGUGGCAGAAAAUAAUGUGUGACGAACUGACCGUAAACCCCAUUCCCUGUCCCCCUGUGCCACUGGGGGGUAGGUGGAGAAUCCAGGAGUGAAGUUGUGCCCGGGAAGAAGGGAGGGGUGGAGGGAAGGUGUUCUGAGAUUUGGUUUUAUUUCUCAUUACCCUACUCUGGUUGAUUGGUCAUAAAUUGAGUUAAUUUUCCCCAA
Molecule: long non-coding RNA, 731 nt
Organism: Harpia harpyja (harpy eagle)
Lineage: Eukaryota; Metazoa; Chordata; Aves; Accipitriformes; Accipitridae
Exons: 2
Source: RefSeq, a predicted model, not a curated record